RNAcentral lists this ribosomal RNA (2202 nucleotides) under Escherichia coli. RNAcentral describes it as "bacterial LSU rRNA". It matches the Rfam family "Bacterial large subunit ribosomal RNA", at positions 1 to 2228 of the family's 2925-position model. Lineage: Bacteria; Pseudomonadati; Pseudomonadota; Gammaproteobacteria; Enterobacterales; Enterobacteriaceae. The record is from RNAcentral.
UUAAGCGACUAAGCGUACACGGUGGAUGCCCUGGCAGUCAGAGGCGAUGAAGGACGUGCUAAUCUGCGAUAAGCGUCGGUAAGGUGAUAUGAACCGUUAUAACCGGCGAUUUCCGAAUGGGGAAACCCAGUGUGUUUCGACACACUAUCAUUAACUGAAUCCAUAGGUUAAUGAGGCGAACCGGGGGAACUGAAACAUCUAAGUACCCCGAGGAAAAGAAAUCAACCGAGAUUCCCCCAGUAGCGGCGAGCGAACGGGGAGCAGCCCAGAGCCUGAAUCAGUGUGUGUGUUAGUGGAAGCGUCUGGAAAGGCGCGCGAUACAGGGUGACAGCCCCGUACACAAAAAUGCACAUGCUGUGAGCUCGAUGAGUAGGGCGGGACACGUGGUAUCCUGUCUGAAUAUGGGGGGACCAUCCUCCAAGGCUAAAUACUCCUGACUGACCGAUAGUGAACCAGUACCGUGAGGGAAAGGCGAAAAGAACCCCGGCGAGGGGAGUGAAAAAGAACCUGAAACCGUGUACGUACAAGCAGUGGGAGCACAGAGCAAUCUGUGUGACUGCGUACCUUUUGUAUAAUGGGUCAGCGACUUAUAUUCUGUAGCAAGGUUAACCGAAUAGGGGAGCCGAAGGGAAACCGAGUCUUAACUGGGCGUUAAGUUGCAGGGUAUAGACCCGAAACCCGGUGAUCUAGCCAUGGGCAGGUUGAAGGUUGGGUAACACUAACUGGAGGACCGAACCGACUAAUGUUGAAAAAUUAGCGGAUGACUUGUGGCUGGGGGUGAAAGGCCAAUCAAACCGGGAGAUAGCUGGUUCUCCCCGAAAGCUAUUUAGGUAGCGCCUCGUGAAUUCAUCUCCGGGGGUAGAGCACUGUUUCGGCAAGGGGGUCAUCCCGACUUACCAACCCGAUGCAAACUGCGAAUACCGGAGAAUGUUAUCACGGGAGACACACGGCGGGUGCUAACGUCCGUCGUGAAGAGGGAAACAACCCAGACCGCCAGCUAAGGUCCCAAAGUCAUGGUUAAGUGGGAAACGAUGUGGGAAGGCCCAGACAGCCAGGAUGUUGGCUUAGAAGCAGCCAUCAUUUAAAGAAAGCGUAAUAGCUCACUGGUCGAGUCGGCCUGCGCGGAAGAUGUAACGGGGCUAAACCAUGCACCGAAGCUGCGGCAGCGACGCUUAUGCGUUGUUGGGUAGGGGAGCGUUCUGUAAGCCUGUGAAGGUGUACUGUGAGGUAUGCUGGAGGUAUCAGAAGUGCGAAUGCUGACAUAAGUAACGAUAAAGCGGGUGAAAAGCCCGCUCGCCGGAAGACCAAGGGUUCCUGUCCAACGUUAAUCGGGGCAGGGUGAGUCGACCCCUAAGGCGAGGCCGAAAGGCGUAGUCGAUGGGAAACAGGUUAAUAUUCCUGUACUUGGUGUUACUGCGAAGGGGGGACGGAGAAGGCUAUGUUGGCCGGGCGACGGUUGUCCCGGUUUAAGCGUGUAGGCUGGUUUUCCAGGCAAAUCCGGAAAAUCAAGGCUGAGGCGUGAUGACGAGGCACUACGGUGCUGAAGCAACAAAUGCCCUGCUUCCAGGAAAAGCCUCUAAGCAUCAGGUAACAUCAAAUCGUACCCCAAACCGACACAGGUGGUCAGGUAGAGAAUACCAAGGCGCUUGAGAGAACUCGGGUGAAGGAACUAGGCAAAAUGGUGCCGUAACUUCGGGAGAAGGCACGCUGAUAUGUAGGUGAAGCGACUUGCUCGUGGAGCUGAAAUCAGUCGAAGAUACCAGCUGGCUGCAACUGUUUAUUAAAAACACAGCACUGUGCAAACACGAAAGUGGACGUAUACGGUGUGACGCCUGCCCGGUGCCGGAAGGUUAAUUGAUGGGGUCAGCGCAAGCGAAGCUCUUGAUCGAAGCCCCGGUAAACGGCGGCCGUAACUAUAACGGUCCUAAGGUAGCGAAAUUCCUUGUCGGGUAAGUUCCGACCUGCACGAAUGGCGUAAUGAUGGCCAGGCUGUCUCCACCCGAGACUCAGUGAAAUUGAACUCGCUGUGAAGAUGCAGUGUACCCGCGGCAAGACGGAAAGACCCCGUGAACCUUUACUAUAGCUUGACACUGAACAUUGAGCCUUGAUGUGUAGGAUAGGUGGGAGGCUUUGAAGUGUGGACGCCAGUCUGCAUGGAGCCGACCUUGAAAUACCACCCUUUAAUGUUUGAUGUUCUAACGU